RNAcentral lists this ribosomal RNA (460 nucleotides) under uncultured bacterium. RNAcentral describes it as "partial 16S ribosomal RNA". It matches the Rfam family "Bacterial small subunit ribosomal RNA", at positions 338 to 795 of the family's 1533-position model. The record is from RNAcentral.
CCUACGGGAGGCAGCAGUGAGGAAUAUUGGUCAAUGGGCGAGAGCCUGAACCAGCCAAGUCGCGUGAAGGAUGACGGCCCUACGGGUUGUAAACUUCUUUUGUCAGGGAGCAAUUGGGUCCACGCGUGGGCGUAGCGAGAGUACCUGAAGAAAAAGCAUCGGCUAACUCCGUGCCAGCAGCCGCGGUAAUACGGAGGAUGCGCGCGUUAUCCGGAUUUAUUGGGUUGAAAGGGUGUGUAGGCGGAAUAUCAAGGCAGCGGUAAAAAGUCGGGGCUCAACCCGGUCGUGCCGUGGAAACUGGUGUUCUUGAGUGGGCGAGAAGUAUGCGGAAUGCGUGGUGUAGCGGUGACAUGCAGAGAUAUCACGCAGAACUCCGAUUGCGAAGGCAGCAUACCGGCGCCCAACUGACGCUGAAGCACGAAAGCGUGGGUAUCGAACAGGAUUAGAUACCCCUGUAGUC